UGCAAGUCGAACGGUGAAGGAGAGCUUGCUCUCUGGAUCAGUGGCGAACGGGUGAGUAACACGUGAGCAAUCUGCCCCUGACUCUGGGAUAACAGUUGGAAACAGCUGCUAAUACCGGAUACGAGCUUCGAAGGCAUCUUCAGAAGCUGGAAAGAACUUCGGUCAGGGAUGAGCUCGCGGCCUAUCAGCUAGUUGGUGAGGUAAUGGCUCACCAAGGCGUCGACGGGUAGCCGGCCUGAGAGGGUGACCGGCCACACUGGGACUGAGACACGGCCCAGACUCCUACGGGAGGCAGCAGUGGGGAAUAUUGCACAAUGGGCGCAAGCCUGAUGCAGCAACGCCGCGUGAGGGACGACGGCCUUCGGGUUGUAAACCUCUUUUAGCAGGGAAGAAGCGAAAGUGACGGUACCUGCAGAAAAAGCGCCGGCUAACUACGUGCCAGCAGCCGCGGUAAUACGUAGGGCGCAAGCGUUAUCCGGAAUUAUUGGGCGUAAAGAGCUCGUAGGCGGUUUGUCGCGUCUGCUGUGAAAACUGGAGGCUCAACCUCCAGCCUGCAGUGGGUACGGGCAGACUAGAGUGCGGUAGGGGAGAUUGGAAUUCCUGGUGUAGCGGUGGAAUGCGCAGAUAUCAGGAGGAACACCGAUGGCGAAGGCAGAUCUCUGGGCCGUAACUGACGCUGAGGAGCGAAAGGGUGGGGAGCAAACAGGCUUAGAUACCCU
Molecule: ribosomal RNA, 719 nt
Filed under: Microbacterium sp. ER-84
Lineage: Bacteria; Bacillati; Actinomycetota; Actinomycetes; Micrococcales; Microbacteriaceae
Description: bacterial SSU rRNA
Rfam family: Bacterial small subunit ribosomal RNA
Source: RNAcentral